AUGCAGCUGGACGAUGCGUGUUGCAGGAUCACGGAUAGUGCAGGCAUUGGUGGUAAUCUACUUCUACUUUCUGUAUGGAGCUGGGCGCGUCUGCCUGUUGGAUGCCCGAAGAGCGUCAGGUUUGAUCCUUGGUAUGCAGAUGAACAUGACGAAUUACGGCGCCCCACGUGGGCUUACAAGUGGGAUAUCAUUUCCGAGAUGACGAACGGUGUCAAUCUCAUGUACCAAAAGUACAUUGCCGAGUUGGACACGAUUACGCCUGAGCAGGUAAGGAGGUCAUUACUUCAGUCCUUUCUCAUGCUUGCUUGA
This 309-nucleotide ribosomal RNA is filed under the name Triticum aestivum (bread wheat). RNAcentral's name for it is "partial small subunit ribosomal RNA". Lineage: Eukaryota; Viridiplantae; Streptophyta; Magnoliopsida; Poales; Poaceae. The record is from RNAcentral.